This is a long non-coding RNA of Heterocephalus glaber (naked mole-rat), 3709 nucleotides long. The record is from Ensembl. NCBI's taxonomy places the organism in Eukaryota, Metazoa, Chordata, Mammalia, Rodentia, Bathyergidae.
GUGAGUCAUCUGCAUUUUUUUUUUACGGCUUAAGUAUGAAAUUUUUUAAAGGUUAAUAGUUAGGUUUAUUGGGUAUUUAUUGUAUAAAUACACCUACAGGUCUAUUUUUCUGUUUUCAGGUUUUUUGAAAACAGGAAACUGUUUUGGAAGGCAGAAUAACAAAUAUUGUUACCAAGGAUGGAAAAUAAAAGAAAAAUGCAUAUAACAUACACAAAGCAUAAACCCAGGGUCAGAAAGAGUCCACCAUAGCACCACCAUUUGAGGGUCAUUUGGUCCUGUUGGCCUACUAAGGGCUAAAGACUUUAGUCUUUCUUUUAGGUGAACAUUUAAAUGCUAUUCAUUGGUCAGGAAAGUUCUGUCUGUCCUUUUUAACUUCUUUUUCUUCAAGGUUUAAAAUCUCAUUCUGAUUCUGUGGUGGCAGUGCUUGAAAAACCACAAUGAACAAUCAAAGGCAAAGGAAGGAAGGGAACAUGCCCUUCUGUGAGGUCCAGACACUCAUUUUUCUGUUUCUUUCCUAAGCACUUUAAUGUGUCCUACUCUGACCAUGGUAUUAGCUAUUUGUCAAGACCCCAAAUGGUGAAGUAAUGAUGCUUACUUGUAUUAUUAGAUGCUUAGUAAAGUAGCCAGAAUACAUGAGGAAAGUCUGGCUGGUACGCAUAGUGUUAUCACAUCUUACUGGAAAAAAAGUUUUAUAUUUCAAUUUUGUACCAGAACUACUUUUUUAAAAAACAGACAGUAAAAUAAAAACAAACUGAAAAGGCUGUGUGUAAUCACACAUUAGUCUUGUUAUCUUAACUUUCAAAAUAAUGAUAACUUCAUCUGAAUCAUAAAUAGUCGAUACACUGAAUUAUUCUCAAAACACUAAAACUUACUACAAAGACAAACGGGGUAUUUCAUUGGAGUAAAGGUUGUUUUGCUUGUGUCAGAGUUCAUCAGUGUUUUGUUAACUGGUUAAACAAUGGUUUUCCUCCUCUGCUCUUCAUUACUGACAGGAAAGUCCCUUAAGUUCUUUUGAUUAGUUUAUGUCUAGAAUGCUGAGUAGCUUAAAAUCAGGACACUGUGGUCUGGCGCUGACUUAUCGUUAGCUGAUUUAGCCAUGGUGUUCAGGGCCAAGGUAGAUGUAGUCCACAUCGUAGACUGUGAAGAUUUUUUAAUUUUAAUUUCUUUUAAAAGCAAAGGGAAACAGCUGAAUCUGAUAAUGAAUAUAUAGUGUGGAACCUAGCCUGGAUUACAUUUGUUGCAAUACCAGUGCAGUUGUAAAGUAUAAUUUUAAAUGUGUUUUAUGGUGAAGGGGGUCCAUGAAGGGCCAGCGCCCAUUGGAGUUGUCACAUGGCCCCACAGUUACACUGGGGUGUGCAGGAGAGUCAUUUAAGGCAUUUAUUUUCUUAAAAAAUAGUAGAUAGUUUCUUUUUCUUUUUAGUAGUGAUUUUGUUCUCUAUAAAUGACUCCAUAAAUAUGAAUACUCCUCAGAGAGAUGCACAAUUCUACCUACAAGGAAAGAGAAAUGACAUAUGCUUAGGUUAGACAGCUAUGGUUAUUCAUUGUAUUUUCUUAAAAUCAACUAUUUUUCCCUCUAGAUACCUACUAAUAUUCUGUUGGUUUUGAAAUAUGACAGAGAAAAUAAGGGAAAGGGAAGCCAAGUUUGACUCAUGGGUUUUGUCCCCUGAGCUGCCUGGGGGUCCCGAUCCCAGAGCAACCAGGUAGGACUGGCUGUUCCUCCCUCUCUGGCAGGGUGCAGGCUGCUCCUUCUUCCUCAGCUGUUCAUCUGUAUGACUGAGUGUAAACAUUUGCAGUGACUGUGACUCAUUUAGUUUUGUUUGUUUGCAAAGCCAUGAUCUAGUUUUGGAGAAAAUAUUUUUGUUCGUCUUCAAUGUCAGCAAGUCUCUACAUUAAGCACAGAAUAUCUUUUGAAUGUUGCUUGUUGAUUUAAAGCAAGCAUGUUGCCUGUCUGAAGCAUUUCUCUUUCAAAUAUAAACUCUCUGAGGACCAGACCUUUGGCUGUUUUGUUUGCUGCUACAGACUUUAGGAAAAGACAGACGUAUAAAUAAGAAAAGCUCCAAUGUUUGCUGGAAGAAUUUCCUCCUUUACAAAACUCAGGUUGAAAUGCCCUGAUAUUGCCCUGCAUAUGUAAGAAGACUGCUGAACCUUUUGCUUUCAGAUGGCAGGUGUCUUGGCAUGUACGCAAAAAUGUGUAUAGUACCUAAGCAGGUACUUAUCCACAAGCUACAGAUGGGAGCUGUCCUGACUUAGCAAGUCAGCUUAUGUGCUGAUACUGCAAAGCCAGUGGGUGACACUAUCAAAUUAAGUGAAGAAUGCAAAAAAAAGAUACUUGAGGGUCUUUUUUCUGCACUGCCCUGAACUGCAUGUCUUCAACAAGAAAGUGUCAUAGGCCAGGUUUGCCCAGAUUUUUAAACACAGAAUACCUCUGUCCACACUCCAACCCCCAGCACUGCCUUCUUGCUUCUUAAUCUAUUCCUGUGUUGUUCUGUGGAAAAUGGUUUGUUAACAGCAGAUUUCAGAUCAAGCAUGGGAAAAACAAGGGGCACGGGCACAGAAUUAGGCCACAGGAAGAAAUGUAGAUGAAUUGGAGCAGCUACCUAUUCAUGUUGGAGAAGCCAGGAGAAAGGACAUUUGGAGGACAAAGCUCUACAGCAUAGCUCCAUGCACUGAGCCUGGCUGACCAGUGCUGGAGCCAGCCCUCUUGGGUGCUGUCUGCAAAGCCCUCACCUCACACUCUCCCCUCUGACUGACCUCGAUGUUCCAUGUGGAAAAUGUAUGAGGCAUCUUGAAGCACUUAGCUAAACCACAGGUUCCAGGACCAGUGAAGGAUGACAUUCCAUCAUCACAAAUUCUAAUGUGGAGAAUGUUUCCCUUUGUACUUAAAUUUCCCCUGGCCUAAUAAUCUUUGAUAAAUCCUGAUGGAUUCCGUAUGCAACACGUAUGUAGAACCAAUUAGCAUAAGUUGUUAUUGAUAACAUGAUACAAGUGACCUGUUCAGGGCUCAUCAUGAACUCCUUUAUGUAAAACACACAGCUAAGUAUUGUGAGGGCUACCAAGGCAAGGAAGCCUCUGCCCUUGGGGAGCUCAUGAGAGUCUGAGAGGGGAACACAGGUCAGCAGAUAACCUUUCUAUGAAGCCAGCGGGUGAUCAAAAAAUUAGAGAUUAAUGAGAAACCCGGAGUACAUGAGAAAUGAACAUCAAAGAUGUUAGGGCACGCCCUACUGAGGUCCCGAGUCGCUCAGAACAAGCCAAAUCAGCCCACGCCCCGGCAACAAUCCACUGGACCCCCCACCACCCGCUCCUCUGCACAGCCACCUGGUUCCACACUACAGAGACGCAGAGGACACCGGAUGACCAGACCACGGUACUGAGUCCCGCUGCUCCCGGCCCAGAGGCAGGGGCUUCUGAGCCACCAUCCCACUGCUUCUGGUCCAGAGGAAGGGGCUUCCAGGCCACCAUCCCUCCCGCUGCCCCCAGGCCAGAGGAAAGGGCUUUUGGGCCACCUUCUGUCCCGCUGCUCCUGGCCCAGAGGAAGGGGCUUCCAGGCCACCAUCCCUCCCACCACUCCUGGCCCAGUGAUAGGGGCUUCUGAGCCACCAUCCCACUGCUCCUGGACCAGAGGAAGGGUCUUCCCGGCCACCAUCCCUCCUGCUGCUCCCAGCCCACAGGAAAGCGCUUUUGGGCCACCAUCCUUACCACUGCUCCCGGC